RNAcentral lists this long non-coding RNA (449 nucleotides) under Homo sapiens (human). Its description in RNAcentral is "LHRI_LNC319.1". The record is from RNAcentral. Lineage: Eukaryota; Metazoa; Chordata; Mammalia; Primates; Hominidae.
UGCAAUCUUGCUAUCUAUCCCCGGGCAGUCAGCGCGCACUUCAGCAGACUCCGUGCACGGAGAUCCGGGAUGACCUCGCUGUCCUAGUCUUCAAAGUGGGCACCUUCAUCCCUCUAGUCUUGUCCCAAGAUCAGCCCUGGACAGGCGAUAAACAGCAGUUCUUUCUUUAUAUUUUUUAUUUUUUUUUGAGACAGAGUUUCGCUCUUGUUGCUCAGGCUGGAGUUUAAUGGCGCGAUCUCGGCUCACUGCAACCUCCGCCUCCUGGGUUCAAGCGAUUCUUCUGCCUCAGCCUCCCAAGUGGCUGGGAUUACGGGCGCCCACCACCACGUCUGGCUAAUUUUUUGUAUUUUUAGUAGAGACUGGGUUUUACCAUGUUGUCCAGGCUGGUCGUCACCUCCUGACCUCAGGUGAUCCACCCGCCUCGGCCUCCCAAAGUACUGGGAUUACAG